GACGAACGCUGGCGGCGUGCUUAACACAUGCAAGUCGAACGGAAAGGCCCUGCUUUUGUGGGGUGCUCGAGUGGCGAACGGGUGAGUAACACGUGAGUAACCUGCCCUUGACUUUGGGAUAACUUCAGGAAACUGGGGCUAAUACCGGAUAGGAGCUCCUGCUGCAUGGUGGGGGUUGGAAAGUUUCGGCGGUUGGGGAUGGACUCGCGGCUUAUCAGCCUGUUGGUGGGGUAGUGGCUUACCAAGGCUUUGACGGGUAGCCGGCCUGAGAGGGUGACCGGCCACAUUGGGACUGAGAUACGGCCCAGACUCCUACGGGAGGCAGCAGUGGGGAAUAUUGCACAAUGGGCGGAAGCCUGAUGCAGCAACGCCGCGUGCGGGAUGACGGCCUUCGGGUUGUAAACCGCUUUCGCCUGUGACGAAGCGUGAGGGACGGUAACGGGGAAAGAAGCACCGGCUAACUACGU
Molecule: ribosomal RNA, 467 nt
Filed under: uncultured bacterium
Lineage: Bacteria
Description: partial 16S ribosomal RNA
Rfam family: Bacterial small subunit ribosomal RNA
Source: RNAcentral